This 72-nucleotide transfer RNA is filed under the name Candidatus Pacearchaeota archaeon. Its description in RNAcentral is "tRNA-Tyr". It matches the Rfam family "tRNA". From Rfam's summary of the family: Transfer RNA (tRNA) molecules are approximately 80 nucleotides in length. Lineage: Archaea; Nanobdellati. The record is from RNAcentral.
CCCUCGGUAGUAUAAUGGUUAUUACAGGCGGCUGUAGACCGCUUGAAGCAAGUUCGAAUCUCGCCCGAGGGA